This 443-nucleotide ribosomal RNA is filed under the name uncultured bacterium. RNAcentral describes it as "bacterial SSU rRNA". It matches the Rfam family "Bacterial small subunit ribosomal RNA", at positions 55 to 518 of the family's 1533-position model. The record is from RNAcentral.
AUGCAAGUCGAACGGGUGCAGCAAUGCACCGAGUGGCGACGAAGGGUGAGGAACACGUGAGUAAUCUACCCUCAAGAUUGGGAUAGCUCCUGGAAACGGGAAUUAAUACCGGAUGAAACAGUUUAUCCGCAUGGAUGAACUUUUAAAGCAGCAAUGCGCUUGAGGAGGAGCUCGCGUCCCAUUAGCUAGUUGGUGAGGUAACGGCCCACCAAGGCGAUGAUGGGUAGCUGGUCUGAGAGGACGAUCAGCCACAUUGGGACUGAGAAACUGCCCAGACUCCUACGGGAGGCUGCAGUCGAGAAUUUUGGGCAAUGAGCGAAAGCUUGACCCAGCCAAUGCCGCGUGCGGGAUGAAGGUCUUCGGAUUGUAAACCGCUGUUGAGAGGGACGAAAGAUGACGGUACCUCUAGAGGAAGCCACGGCUAACUACGUGCCAGCCGCUGC